UACGGAGGGUGCAAGCGUUGUCCGGAUUUAUUGGGUUUAAAGGGUCCGUAGGCGGUUUGGUAAGUCAGUGGUGAAAGCCCAUCGCUCAACGGUGGAACGGCCAUUGAUACUGCCAGACUUGAAUUAUUAGGAAGUAACUAGAAUAUGUAGUGUAGCGGUGAAAUGCUUAGAGAUUACAUGGAAUACCAAUUGCGAAGGCAGGUUACUACUAAUGGAUUGACGCUGAUGGACGAAAGCGUGGGUAGCGAACAGG
This 253-nucleotide ribosomal RNA is filed under the name uncultured bacterium. Its description in RNAcentral is "partial 16S ribosomal RNA". It matches the Rfam family "Bacterial small subunit ribosomal RNA", at positions 524 to 776 of the family's 1533-position model. The record is from RNAcentral.